This 239-nucleotide non-coding RNA is filed under the name Peptoniphilus asaccharolyticus. Its description in RNAcentral is "T-box sequence". It matches the Rfam family "T-box leader". From Rfam's summary of the family: Uncharged tRNA acts as the effector for transcription antitermination of genes in the T-box leader family. T-boxes are found upstream of many aminoacyl-tRNA synthetase genes and some amino acid biosynthetic genes usually in Gram-positive bacteria. Lineage: Bacteria; Bacillati; Bacillota; Tissierellia; Tissierellales; Peptoniphilaceae. The record is from RNAcentral.
UUUAAAGCUAAGACAGAGAAAAAGAUAUGGAUCUUUAUCAAAGAGAGUCGGAGUUGGUGUGAGCCGAUAUAAAGUAAGUAUGUAAUAUUCACUCUUGAGCUUAAUGGUAGAAAUUUUUAAGUAGACUAUUACGGCGGCCACCGUUAUCUAAGGCAAGGCGUUUAUUGACGCUAGUGAGGUAAUCUAUACAUAAAAUUAGAUUAUAAAAUUAGGUGGUACCACGAUGCUUCGUCCUAUGU